UACGUAGGUGGCAAGCGUUGUCCGGAAUUAUUGGGCGUAAAGCGCGCGCAGGUGGUUUCUUAAGUCUGAUGUGAAAUCCCACGGCUCAACCGUGGAACGGCUGGGUAUACUGGCGAUCUUGAGUCACCUAGGGGCAGCCGGAACAGGCGGUGGAGCGGUGAAAUGCGUAGAUAUCGCCUGGAACGCCGAAGGUGAAGACAGGCUGCUGGGGGUGGACUGACGCUGAGGCGCGAAAGCGUGGGGAGCAAACAGG
Molecule: ribosomal RNA, 253 nt
Filed under: uncultured bacterium
Lineage: Bacteria
Description: partial 16S ribosomal RNA
Rfam family: Bacterial small subunit ribosomal RNA
Source: RNAcentral